This 458-nucleotide ribosomal RNA is filed under the name Caranx heberi (blacktip trevally). RNAcentral describes it as "partial large subunit ribosomal RNA". It matches the Rfam family "Bacterial large subunit ribosomal RNA", at positions 1817 to 2449 of the family's 2925-position model. The record is from RNAcentral. Lineage: Eukaryota; Metazoa; Chordata; Actinopteri; Carangiformes; Carangidae.
CGCCUCUUGCAAAACCAAAGAAUAAGAGGUCCCGCCUGCCCGGUGACUAUAUGUUUAACGGCCGCGGUAUUUUGACCGUGCGAAGGUAGCGUAAUCACUUGUCUUUUAAAUGGAGACCUGUAUGAAUGGCAUAACGAGGGCUUAACUGUCUCCUCUUUCCAGUCAAUGAAAUUGAUCUCCCCGUGCAGAAGCGGGGAUAAGUACAUAAGACGAGAAGACCCUAUGGAGCUUUAGACUACCAAGACAGAUCAUGUUAAACACCCCCAAUAAAGGCCCAAACUUAAUGACCACCUGUCCUAAUGUCUUCGGUUGGGGCGACCAUGGGGCAGCACAAAACCCCCAUGUGGAUUGGGAGAACAAACCCAAAACCCUUUUCCCACACUCCCACAAGCAAGAGCUACAACUCUAACUAACAGAAUCUCUGACCUACGUGAUCUGAGUUCAGACCGGAGGUCAUA